UACGUAGGCGGAAAAUUAAGUCAGUAGUGAAAUCCUGCAGCUUAACUGUAGAACUGUUAUUGAUACUGGUUUUCUUGAAUAUAGUUGAGGUAGGCGGAAUGUGUAAUGUAGUGGUGAAAUGCUUAGAUAUUACACAGAACACCGAUUGCGAAGGCAGCUUACUAAGCUAUGAUUGACGCUGAGGUACGAAAGCGUGGGGAGCGAACAGGAUUAGAUACCCUGGUAGUCC
This 229-nucleotide ribosomal RNA is filed under the name uncultured bacterium. Its description in RNAcentral is "partial 16S ribosomal RNA". It matches the Rfam family "Bacterial small subunit ribosomal RNA", at positions 568 to 796 of the family's 1533-position model. The record is from RNAcentral.